AGGGCCUACUGGCUAUACUAAGAGAAAUAUUAUCUCGGGUUGUGUAACUAGUGCUUUCGAAUUGAUAAUUGACAGACACAUAAUGGGACACAUAAAAGAUUGCACUGAAACCGAGGCACAUCGAGUUUUGAAAAAAGAUUGGACAAUCACAGUUGCUGAGUUACGUAAUAUAACGAUAGACAAUUUCUUUACAAGCAUCCCGCUAACUAAAAAAUUACUUGCAGAAAAAACAACCUUGGUUGGGACCAUCCGGUCGAACAAAAGAAAACUGCUAAAAC
RNAcentral lists this unclassified non-coding RNA (278 nucleotides) under Bombus terrestris (buff-tailed bumblebee). RNAcentral describes it as "misc RNA ENSBTSG00005033329.1". The record is from RNAcentral. Lineage: Eukaryota; Metazoa; Arthropoda; Insecta; Hymenoptera; Apidae.